UUUCGUCUACAUCUUCAUCAUU
Molecule: microRNA, 22 nt
Filed under: Shrimp white spot syndrome virus
Lineage: Naldaviricetes; Nimaviridae
Description: wssv-mir77
Source: RNAcentral